UACAGAGGUCCCGAGCGUUGUUCGGAUUCACUGGGCGUAAAGGGUGCGUAGGCGGCUGGGUAAGUCUGAUGUGAAAUCUCCGGGCCCAACCCGGAAAUGGCAUUAGAAACUACCUGGCUGGAGGCUUGGAGGGGGAACUGGAAUACUUGGUGUAGCAGUGAAAUGCGUAGAUAUCAAGUGGAACACCGGUGGCGAAGGCGAGUUCCUGGACAAGACCUGACGCUGAGGCACGAAAGCUAGGGGAGCAAACAGG
This 253-nucleotide ribosomal RNA is filed under the name uncultured bacterium. RNAcentral describes it as "partial 16S ribosomal RNA". It matches the Rfam family "Bacterial small subunit ribosomal RNA", at positions 524 to 776 of the family's 1533-position model. The record is from RNAcentral.